UGAGCAGACCAGGUGGUCGCGGGCCCGAAAGGGCCUGAGGAAAGUCCGGGCUCCACGGGCAGGGUGCUGGGUAACUCCCAGGAGGGGUGACCCUACGGAAAGUGCCACAGAAACCGUACCGCCUCUGCCUCGCGCAGGGGUAAGGGUGAAAAGGUGAGUUAAGAGCUCACCAGCAGCGGGGCGACUCGCUGGCUGGGCAAACCCCACCCGGAGCAAGACCAAAUAGGAGGGACGCCGGUUGUUCUUGGAGCUAUGCCCCAGGAAAACCGGCAGGGCUGCCCGGCCUCACCCUCGGGUUGGUCGCUGGAGGUGAUGGGAAACCGUCGCCCAAGAUGGAUGGCCACCACCCACCGUAUGGUGGGCACAGAACCCGGCUUACAGGUCUGCUCGGGCU
RNAcentral lists this RNase P RNA (394 nucleotides) under Dehalococcoidia bacterium. RNAcentral's name for it is "RNase P RNA component class A". It matches the Rfam family "Bacterial RNase P class A". From Rfam's summary of the family: Ribonuclease P (RNase P) is a ubiquitous endoribonuclease, found in archaea, bacteria and eukarya as well as chloroplasts and mitochondria. The record is from RNAcentral. Lineage: Bacteria; Bacillati; Chloroflexota; Dehalococcoidia.